UACAACGCACUACCUGUUCAUAGUAGUCGUUGCUGUCAACAGCACACUGCUCACCAUCAACGCAGGGGACUACAUCUUCUACACAGACUGGGCGUGGACGUCCUUCGUUGUGUUCUCGGUGGCGCAGGCGACGAUGCAUGCUGUAGGAGCAAUAUACUAAAUGUUCUUCCCACGUGUUCCAGGUACACAAACCUAUUACAACCAGAGCAUUACAAUAUACAAAUGGUGGGAAAAGGGCCCAUGGUUUCAACUGGGAUACACUCACGCACUCGGGCCACAAGACGCCACAAGCACGCUGCCAUACUGAUUGGCGGUACGCUGGUUGGCCUAUCCUUCCCGCUGUUCACCAUGGUCAACCUGUUGCUUGUAAAGGACCCGCUCGAGGUGGCCUUCAAGUAUCCGAGACCGACUCUGCCCGCGUACAUGACGCCUAUAGAGCCUCAGGUAGGGAAGUUCUACAACUCGCCUGUCGCCCUGGGUUCAGGUGCCGGUGCAGUGCUAACGGUACCCAUCGCUGCGUUGGGUGCAAAACUAAACACGUGG
RNAcentral lists this ribosomal RNA (543 nucleotides) under uncultured Nitrososphaerota archaeon. RNAcentral's name for it is "uncultured thaumarchaeote partial 16S ribosomal RNA". The record is from RNAcentral. Lineage: Archaea; Thermoproteati; Nitrososphaerota.